UGUGUAACCCUGCUGUAUUUGUACUGUGUUAUUUUGCUUUUCUGUAUUCUUUUACUUUAUGGGUAGUGUCCCUUUAAGAGAACUGAACGACAUUACUUUACGGCAGCAUUCCGACUGCAGUUCCUAGGGGAAUUCCCGGGGUUUAGAGUUCAGAGCUGCUGCAGAGCAGAGACAUGCUAGUCUCAGCCUGGCUUCUGCAUAUUGCCUAACUUUUAUGCCCAUAUGAUGUUUCCCUGCUAGGUGAGCAUUACUGGAGAUUUGUAAUGUCUGCAUUGUUGUGAGAGGAACGUUGGGCCUUUGUGUGCCUGCAGAGGAGGAAGGAGAGGCUGCUGAAUUUUCCGUGUUUGUGGACACCGGCUGCCAUCAUCAUUCUGGGUCCCUAUCCCAGUCGAGACAACCUUUUUCAUUUGUAUGCACCAGACACACACAUACAAAUAUAGAGCUCUAUAUGAACUUUUUUUUUUUGCUGGCCCUCUUCUUUUGUUUUUUCUCUCUCUACCAAGGACCCUGUUACAGUGAAUGUUGUUCACUCUAAGAUUUGAGUUGAGAUGAAGUUGGAUGUAUUUCAGUCCAGAAAUUUGUAAUAAACAAAACUGGUUGAUAGUAAACUGCUAUCUGAA
This is a long non-coding RNA of Xiphophorus couchianus (Monterrey platyfish), 620 nucleotides long. RefSeq lists it as uncharacterized. The record is from RefSeq and is a predicted model, not a curated record. Lineage: Eukaryota; Metazoa; Chordata; Actinopteri; Cyprinodontiformes; Poeciliidae. The transcript has 2 exons.